This is a ribosomal RNA of Cercocebus atys (sooty mangabey), 107 nucleotides long. The record is from Ensembl. Lineage: Eukaryota; Metazoa; Chordata; Mammalia; Primates; Cercopithecidae.
UCUAACAGUCAUACCAUCCUGAACACACCUGAUCUCAUCUGAUCUCAGAAAGUUAAACAGGGUCAGGCCAUCAGGCCUGAUUGAUUGGACAGGAGACACAAUUAGUC